UGAAGAGUUUGAUCAUGGCUCAGAUUGAACGCUGGCGGCAGGCCUAACACAUGCAAGUCGAACGGUAACAGGAAGCAGCUUGCUGCUUUGCUGACGAGUGGCGGACGGGUGAGUAAUGUCUGGGAAACUGCCUGAUGGAGGGGGAUAACUACUGGAAACGGUGGCUAAUACCGCAUAACGUCGCAAGACCAAAGAGGGGGACCUUCGGGCCUCUUGCCAUCAGAUGUGCCCAGAUGGGAUUAGCUUGUUGGUGAGGUAACGGCUCACCAAGGCGACGAUCCCUAGCUGGUCUGAGAGGAUGACCAGCCACACUGGAACUGAGACACGGUCCAGACUCCUACGGGAGGCAGCAGUGGGGAAUAUUGCACAAUGGGCGCAAGCCUGAUGCAGCCAUGCCGCGUGUAUGAAGAAGGCCUUCGGGUUGUAAAGUACUUUCAGCGGGGAGGAAGGUGUUGUGGUUAAUAACCGCAGCAAUUGACGUUACCCGCAGAAGAAGCACCGGCUAACUCCGUGCCAGCAGCCGCGGUAAUACGGAGGGUGCAAGCGUUAAUCGGAAUUACUGGGCGUAAAGCGCACGCAGGCGGUCUGUCAAGUCGGAUGUGAAAUCCCCGGGCUCAACCUGGGAACUGCAUUCGAAACUGGCAGGCUUGAGUCUUGUAGAGGGGGGUAGAAUUCCAGGUGUAGC
This 685-nucleotide ribosomal RNA is filed under the name Salmonella enterica subsp. enterica serovar Oranienburg. RNAcentral describes it as "bacterial SSU rRNA". It matches the Rfam family "Bacterial small subunit ribosomal RNA", at positions 1 to 679 of the family's 1533-position model. RNAcentral also lists the same sequence under 1 other name. The record is from RNAcentral. Lineage: Bacteria; Pseudomonadati; Pseudomonadota; Gammaproteobacteria; Enterobacterales; Enterobacteriaceae.